Molecule: long non-coding RNA, 2669 nt
Filed under: Marmota monax (woodchuck)
Lineage: Eukaryota; Metazoa; Chordata; Mammalia; Rodentia; Sciuridae
Source: RNAcentral
GAAAUCAAAUGAAAUUAAAAUGAAUGAAUUUUUAAAAUCAAAUUUAAAAAGUGUAAAUGCCCACAAUGGGUAAAAAAUUACAUGAAUGAUGGAAUGAAUAUCUGAGAUUGUAUAUUUGAAAGUUAUGAAAAUAAUAUUUUUCAAUAAUUUUCAGCAAAAUGGGAAAAUAAGCAAUAAUGCUAAAUGAAAAUAUGGGAUUCAUAUUUUAUAGAAAUAUCUGUUCCACUUAUAGGAUGAUUACAACUGUUUAUAAUAUGCAUAGAAAAAACAAAAUUAUAAAAAAUAUUAACAGUGGUUAUAUUGUGAACGGACUGUAGAUUUGUUUUCUUCUUUAUGCUUUUUCCCUCCUAAAUUUAUUAUGUAUAUUUAUUAUAUUUACAAUCAGAAAAAGAAAAGUCAGGAAACAUUAAAGCUAAGCUUAGAGAAGAACAGUAUAUUCAGAAGGUUUGAAAAUCAAUCUCCUUUUUUCUUUCCAUGAGUGGGCACUUUCCCUUGGCUCAUUCUAAACAGACUUACCUAUUUUUCUUUAUUGUUUUCUCUUUGCAAACUAUAAGCAUUCCCUAAAGUUUAGCUUUUUCCUCCAUGAUUUAUUCCUGUAUUCUGCUCUUCCCUGACAGGAGAGUGGAAAGAACAUGAGCUUCAGAGCCAGUCACAUCUGAGCUUAGCUCUCCACGCUGCCAGUUACGCAUUAUGUGAUCUUAGGAAUGUUCCUUAGUUUCCUUGGGCCUAGGGUAUCAUCUGUAAAAUGGGAAAUAUUAGAGCUGCCUCAUGUUUUUUGGGGGGCAUGUGUCUGCCACCCACUGCAUAGUUCCUUAACUUUGUCGUCUCUAUAAGAUUAUUUUCCGAUCUCUUUUGCCUAUCUUGGUGUCUUUUUCCAAGGACUUCCUCUAAAUGUCUCCAGUGUUUCAAGUUGGAACACAUAUUUUUUAAACCAGUCUGGUUUUUUUCUGGAAGAUAUUAUUUUUGACACUCCCAUCAAUAGUUUUGGGGCAUUCUCUUGCCUUCCACUCCCUGUCACUGCACAGUCUUCCUUGGUGUGGUUCAUGUGGUUCCUUGGUGUGGUUCCUAGGUGAGGUAAAUGUUACUUCACACUUCGUUACUGUAGCUAUCAUAGGUUUUGUGCUUGCCUCCUCUUCUCACAGUCCAAGGACCAUUUUACAACACGGGUCUCCUUACACAAAAACUUGUAAUGCUUAUCUACAGUAUCUACAAUAUGAAAGCUGAUCUCCUUAGCCUGGGACUUCAGACUUUUUACACUGUUAUUCAACCUAAACACUUAAUUUAGCCCUGUAUUCUCUCCUCUAUGAACACUAGUCUAUUCACUAACCCCAGAUUGUGCACUCCUAUCUCAAAUGCUUUGUUAUAGCACAGAUUCCACAUCUUCCUAAAUAGUACCUAGUUGUUGGGGCCCAACAAAGCCAUGGAGUCUGAGUCUUCUAAUCCACAGUGGACUCUCCUUGACCUGUAUGACUUAACAUUGACUCAUUUGACUUAUAUUGACAUGUAUGAUUUAAAUUUUCAUGAGCUCCUCAAGCAUAUUAAAUUAGCAGAAGGAAUACAAGUAAGGAUACAGAAGGGAGAGAAAGAGAAGGUAUUUGAGGGCAGGACUAGGAGAAUGGCAAGCAACACUCACAGCACUCACUUGAACAUGGAAUUUUUGCGCUGUGCUUCUUCUAGGACAACCAGUAACACUGAUCCAUUUCUCACACUAACUGGGAUGGUCACAUUGAAGAGCAGCUCUACCCCUCUCAGCUGGUUGUUUAUGGUAUAGGUGACAGUGAUAUUAGAUGCUGAGGUUGGGACAGGGAAAGGGUAAUUGGGUAGAGUUGGUUGCGCCUCAUGAUCUGUGAAGAGUGAAGAUAUAAAAUACGUCAAAGUUUAUGGGGUUUCUGUGGUUGGUGUGAAGUCUGUUACUGACAACUUAUCCCAGAAACAUUUCAAGCAAGUAAUAAGUUUCAGACCAUUUAACAAGGUACUUGGACAACUAGUGUAGAAUCCUGGCAAAGACUCUAUGGCCAACUUGUUAAAGUUGGGAAAUCAUUGGGAAACAGCCCAAGGAGUUAGGUGAGUGUAAAUAUUCAAUAUGGUUGGGAACAGUUUUCUUAAUUUUGGUCUCUGUAGAUUCUGUGUUGAAAUGGACAAGAAGUUUAUAAUCUCUUCUUAGGAAGUUAAUUUAAGAGAAUAAUACUUUAUGUUGGUAUUUGACUAGAAAGAGGAGCUAGAAAUCCAUACCAGUACUAUCUCUGGAGUAUACAAUUUUAAUGAAGGAUCCCUACUUUCUAAACACACAUUUCUUCAAUAUUUGAAUUUAUGUAUUUCUGUAUUGUAUUUAUGAUUGGAUAAAAUAAAGAUAUUUCAAAUUAAAAAGUAGCAUGCUAUGUUUCCACUCCAUCCCUUUGGUAUUCUGUGAGCAUCAAGCUUUCAUAAUUAGAUGGCUAAAAUGUCAACUCUUUUAUCUUAGGCCUCCCAAAUAAAAUCAAUAAUUGGUCAUCUUUUUUUGCUUUUGCACUGUGUAUGGAUUUAAUUUCUAUUUAAUAUUUGUUUCAUUAUUCCAAAUAUUAUAGUUUUUGUGUAUUUGUCUCCUACUCUGUAAAAAGCAGAUAUGAUAAGAUAUGCAUAAUGUUUGGCGGUACAUUUGUCAAAUGAAUGUGAAGCUAUUUGGUUGUUCA